RNAcentral lists this transfer RNA (71 nucleotides) under Micromonospora tarensis. RNAcentral's name for it is "tRNA-Phe". Lineage: Bacteria; Bacillati; Actinomycetota; Actinomycetes; Micromonosporales; Micromonosporaceae. The record is from RNAcentral.
GACAGGUCAUGAUCACUGGCCGUGGCAGACUGAAAAUCGGAAGGUCGGCGGUUCGACCCCGCCCCUGGCCA